CGCGCGGCAGCCCGUGCCUGCGCACUGCUCUGUGCCCGCGCCUAUGUCCAGCAGGGGGCGCGCAGCGGCGGUAUCCGAGCGAGGGCGCGGUGGCCUCUGACAGGAAUGACUGUGCGCACGUGCGUUUCACAGCAGUGGAAGUCUUCACACCGGAAAUUUGACUUUGGCCGUUGCUCCAUUUCUCCUUACGCACUGUCUUUCCUUGUGCCCUCGUCACUCCUGGCACCGGGGGAAGCGCUUCCCCCGCCUCUGGCCGGGGGCUGCGGCGCGACCGAAGGCGAGGCGGCGGCGAGGAACCUUCUGGAAUUUGGCCGUCGGGGCAGGCGUCGAGUUUACAGGAGAAGGCGCGGUGUCUCGGAAUGAGCGGAGUCGCCCUCAGUUAAGGAGCGAGGGAAGCCUCGGGGGUCCCCAGCCGGAAAUGAAAACUGGACAUUUGACAUUUGAACCUCUCUCCUGUGUUUGGAAAACUCUCCAUCAAUGUGAUACAAUGGUGGAAAGCGGGGUCUAGGCCCAAUGGAACAGACGGAGUCUCGCUCUGUUGCCCAGGCUGGAGUGCAGUGGUGGGAUCUCGGCUCACUGCAACCUUCGCCUCCCAGAUUCCAGCGAUUCUUGUGCCUCAGCCUCACAAGUAGCCCAUGCUGGAACUGCUGUGGGAAGCAUCAUCUUCUCCUUCACCUGCUGCCCAUACCCAUACCUCAUGUUCAGCUACAUCCAGAGAAGCUACUUCCAAAAGACUGCCUGUUGCCUCUUCUCAAAUAUUGCCAUGGCACUGAGAGUCCGAUUCAUCGCUAUGUUUGAGGCAAAAGGCACACGCAUCCAAUGGAGGAAUAUGGGCAGUGUACUUGGAGAGUUUAACUUCACUCAGGUGCUGCUGCUCUGCUGCUGGACUCUUUCUUUUACUGCUUAAUAGCCUGGUAUGUGGAGUCCAUCUUCCCAGGGAAGUAUGGUACACCCAGGCCUUGGUACUUCUUUGCUCUGUAGCAUCUGGUGGCCCUGCCCACGGUCUUGCCUGCUGAUCCUGUCUCUGCACAAGUACUUAUUAGGACCUCUACAAAGGCUGCCACGCUUGCCCAUCUUGGAGUGUGGGGAACCCUCCUACUGGCAUGGAAAGCCUGUACCUGUUACCCAAUCAUUGCUGGACAUGAUGGGUCCUGUAAAAACACCGAACAGCGAGUUCAUUGAGAAAGAGCCUGCAGAUUUGAUCAAAGGAAUUGAAAUUUAGCAUCUAUAUAAGGUGUAUCGCAGAGGAAGGACUAAACACAUAGCAGUCAAAUGUCUGACCAUGAACAUGUAUAGAGGGCAGAUCACUGUUCUAGGACACAGCGGAGCAGGAAAAACCACCACCUGCUUCAUGCUCACAGGUUUGAAUCUCUAUUUACUGACUUGGAACUCAGGCAGGUAGAGCUGGGCAUCUCCAGCUUUGGGACCUCUGUCACGACCAUGGAGGAUGUCUUCAUAAGGUAAGCACGUAUAAAACUGUAAGACUCCAAGGUUCUUAGGGUUGGAAGGGAUCUUAAAGGUCAUCUGUCUAAACAUUGCCUGAUGCUUGUAUCUUUUCUGUAGCAACCUCACUGAAUGGCCUUCCACCCUCUGACUAGUACUUCCAAUAAUAGAGAUACCUGAAUCUUGGCUCACUGCAGACUCUGCAUCCCAGGUUCAAGCAAUUCUCCUGCCUCAGCCUCCUGAGUAGCUGGGACUACAGGAGCCUGGCACCACACCUGACUGAUUUUUGUAUUUUUGGUACAGAUGAGGUUUCACUAUGUUGGCCAGGCUGGUCUCAAACUGCCGACCUCAAGUAAUCUGCCUGCCUCAACCUUCCAAAGUGCCUGAGAUUACAGGUAAUUUUUGUAUUUUUAUUAGAGGUGGGGAUUCACCACGUUGGCCAGGCUGGUCUCGAGCUCUUGACCUCAAGUGAUCCACCCACCUUGGCCUCCCAAAGUGCUGGGAUUACAGGCAUGAGCCAUUGCACCUGGCCUUUAAACAAAUUUUAUUGAUACAUAAUGUGCAUAUGUAUGGGAUACAUGUGAUAUUUUGAUACAUGCAUAUUCUACUUGAGACUUGAUUGAUGUCUGGCUAUGGACAUCUUCCACGAGUUUAGAAUCCCCAGCUAUUAAUAUCUGUUCAUACAGGGCCUCUGCUCAAAUAUCUCCUUUUGUUUUGGAACUCCAAUUAGACAUAUUAGAUCUUAUCACUCUACUAUGUGAGUUUUAACUUUUUAAAUAUUUUCCAACUCUUUGUCUCUCUGAGCUGCACUCUACAUAAUAUCUUCUGAUCUACAUCCAGGUCACUGAGUUUCUCUGCAGAUGUUUCUUAUCUUCAGCUAAACACUUCCAUUGAGAGUAUUUUCUUCUUUGUGGAGAUGAGGUCUCAUUAUGUUGACCAGGUUGGUCUCGAACUCCUAGGCUCAAGCUAUCCACCCCCUUGGCCUCCCAAAGUGCUGGGAUUACAGGCAUGAGCCACUGCACACAGCCAGUUUUUAAAAUACUUACAUUUUUGUUGAAGUAUAACAUAUAUACCAAAAGGUAUGCAAUUAUUAAACCUGUAGCUCAGUUUUCAUUUUUUGAGUUGUUGAAAUUUUUAUAUAUUCUAGAUAUAAAUCUUUGUCAGAUACAUGUUUUAUCUACAUUUUCUUCCAGUAUGUGGCUUGCUUCUUCAUAUUCUUAGUGGUAGCUUUUUUUUUUUUUUUUUUUUGAGACAGGGUCAUACUCUGUCACCUAGGCUGGAGUACAGUGGCAUGAUCUUGGCUCACUGCAACCUCUGCCAUCCAGGUUCAAGGGAUUCCCCUGCCUCAGCCUCCCGAGUAGCUGGGACUACAGGUGCAUGCCACCACGCCCAGCUAACUUUUUGUAUUUUGGUAGAGACAGGGUUUCACCAUGUUGGCCAGGCUGGUCUUAAACUCCUGACCUCAGGUGAUCCGUCCACCUCAGCCUCCCAAAGUGCUGGGAUUACAGGCGUAAGCCACCAUGCCUGGCCCCUAAAUUUUUUUUGUAGUUACUGUGUUCUGUAUCCUUCCUAAAAAAUAUUUCCCUACCCUUAGGUCACAAAGUCUGCUGCUGGUGGUGAGUACUGGAGGGUGCUGGGAUUCUUCAGCUGCAUAUCACAGGCAGCUUUUCCUGGGGACCCCUGCCCAGAACCAGAACCAUCUAGGAAGUCUAGGUUGGCAGCUCUGCCCCAGUAGGGACACAGGGUGUGAGAUCUCCCUCAUCACUGACCCUUGUUAGAAGAAGACUCAAGUUCCCAGCUUUGUUAGGAGCAGAGGGACCUGCUUUAGGGUCUCUAUGUGGCCCCCCAAGAAUUGCUACUUCAAGCUAGUAAGGGGCAGUACUUUGGGGACAUAUGUUUAUUGUCCAGAAAUACCUCACCAGGGUAGUGAUGGGUUGAAGUAUUUAAUUGUGGUUGCAUUGAGUAAUUUGCAGCUCCCUGGUUAU
Symphalangus syndactylus (siamang) is the source of this 3428-nucleotide long non-coding RNA. RefSeq lists it as uncharacterized. The record is from RefSeq and is a predicted model, not a curated record. Lineage: Eukaryota; Metazoa; Chordata; Mammalia; Primates; Hylobatidae.